AGAAUGAACGCUGGCGGCAUGCCUAACACAUGCAAGUCGAACGAAGGCUUCGGCCUUAGUGGCGCACGGGUGCGUAACGCGUGGGAAUCUACCCUUAGGUUCGGAAUAACAGUUGGAAACGACUGCUAAUACCGGAUGAUGACGUAAGUCCAAAGAUUUAUCGCCUAGGGAUGAGCCCGCGUAGGAUUAGCUAGUUGGUGUGGUAAAGGCGCACCAAGGCAACGAUCCUUAGCUGGUCUGAGAGGAUGAUCAGCCACACUGGGACUGAGACACGGCCCAGACUCCUACGGGAGGCAGCAGUGGGGAAUAUUGGACAAUGGGCGAAAGCCUGAUCCAGCAAUGCCGCGUGAGUGAUGAAGGCCUUAGGGUUGUAAAGCUCUUUUACCCGGGAUGAUAAUGACAGUACCGGGAGAAUAAGCUCCGGCUAACUCCGUGCCAGCAGCCGC
This 446-nucleotide ribosomal RNA is filed under the name uncultured bacterium. RNAcentral's name for it is "SSU rRNA". It matches the Rfam family "Bacterial small subunit ribosomal RNA", at positions 26 to 518 of the family's 1533-position model. The record is from RNAcentral.